Molecule: transfer RNA, 85 nt
Filed under: Felis catus (domestic cat)
Lineage: Eukaryota; Metazoa; Chordata; Mammalia; Carnivora; Felidae
Also listed under: 1 other name
Rfam family: tRNA
About the family: Transfer RNA (tRNA) molecules are approximately 80 nucleotides in length. Their secondary structure includes four short double-helical elements and three loops (D, anti-codon, and T loops).
Source: Rfam by way of RNAcentral
GCCUGGAUGGCUCAGUCGGUUAAGCAUCUGACUUCAGCUCAGGUUGUGAUCUCGCGGUUCGUGGGUUCAAGCCCCGUGUCGGGCU